This 405-nucleotide ribosomal RNA is filed under the name uncultured bacterium. RNAcentral describes it as "partial 16S ribosomal RNA". It matches the Rfam family "Bacterial small subunit ribosomal RNA", at positions 28 to 526 of the family's 1533-position model. The record is from RNAcentral.
GAUGAACGCUGGCGGCGUGCUUAAUACAUGCAAGUCGAGCGAAGCGGGGACGGGUGAGUAACAUGUGGAUAACUCCCUAUAAGACUGGUAUUACUUCGGGAAACCGGAGCUAAACCGGAUAAUUAUAGAUGGAUCAGCGAGGUAUUAGCUAGUUGAUAAGGUAACGGCUUACCAAGGCACUGAAGCAUCGCCGACCUGAGAGGAUGAUCGGCCACACUGGGACUGAGACACGUUCCAGACUCCUACGGGAGGCAGCAGUAGGGAAUCUUGCGCAAUGGGCGAAAGCCUGACGGAGCAACGCCGCGUGAGUGAAGAAGGUCUUCGGAUCGUAAAACUCUGUUAUUAGGGAAGCGGUACCUAAUCAGAAAGCCACGGCUAACUACGUGCCAGCCGCCGCGGUAAUUC